AUUUCUAGGAAAAGCAUUAAAAAAAGAAAGCGGUAUGGCUCAAAGCGCGGAGGUUUAAAUGUUUAAAGCGAGCCUUCUGGUAUAGAGCGCGGCGAUUUUCCUGCCGUUUCCCGGGUAACUUUUGCGUCAGCCUUUAUCGCCGGAAAAAAACUCGUUAGCUUGGCGCGGCCUAGCUGGCCUGCUUCCAGAACAAACCGCCAGAGGUCCGGCGUUACGUGCGAACCGAGGCCGUGCCGAUGAAUUUGGUGACGUAAGAGAAUAAAACCACCAUAAAGGCUUGCUGGUUCAUUAGCGCAAACCGCGGAGCAUGGCAUCCUUGUAGAGAGAGCGAGGUUAUAAUCCAUAGUCUGAUCUCGGUGUAUCCACAGAGUAAAUUACUUUUCAAAACGCGUUUGGUUUUUGAAUUAUCGACAUGUAGUCCUCCGAUUGUUCAGUGCUGCAGCGAAACGCAGCAAUAAGGAGAGAUAAUAUACAUACUUGACUUCCACUCGAAGAGGUCGGGUAGAUAAGAGAAGAGUGAACCUGCGAAAUUGACUUUCGUAAUUACCGACCGAGAAUGCGCCAGUAUCCAAGAAGUCAUCUCGAAAAUCCAAUUAGUGGAGAACUGCUUAACGGAGCACCAGUCACUUAAAUCGUACUUUACCAAUUUCCUUUCUUAUUAGAGGAUCAAAUGGCAAAUGAAUGAAAUAAGCGUAGUGUGUGCAGUAUAAACACAAAAUUCAGCAAUUAUAUACAUCUUGCCUUGUGCAUGUUGCAAUUUGCAAAGAAUGAGGUACUGCUUCUGCCUGCAAUUAUAUUUCUGUUAAAGAAACUACGAGUUUAAAAGAUCUUAAAUACUUCUAUAUUGUACUACAAGAAUUAAGCCAAAUUAACUUCUAAAAAAGUCUUGAACAUCAAGUCUCAAUUUCCAAUCUCAACUGAAUAGAAAUUACCACGAAAAAGUAUUCUAUAAGCUGUGGCAAGCAGUACAAUUUUCGGCCUCGAAAGAAAGUGCGCCACUGUUAUGCAAUUAAGAUUUUAAUAGAACCUUCAUGUCCGUGAAUCUCCGUGCGCGUUUCCUUUGUUGCGCUUAACUCUGUUUGCUCAACCCCCUUUUCACGGUGAACUCUUUCAGUGGCCGCACCGAACACCGCAUCCCUCAAGGGGUUAAUUUCAUUUCGACUGUCUGGGCAACAUACGAGCCGAAGGUGUGCAUCACGAAAGAACCUGCCACUGCACCAGCAUGUAUUGUCGUCGUCAACGUCGAAAGAGUUCAGUGUCAAACGUCAGCGAUUUGUUUUCAUGAUGCACGAACGCUAUGGUUGCACAACAACGAUUUAUCGCUGACGAAUGUUAUUGGCGACUCGUGAUCAGCGUGUACGCAAUAUCUUCACGGACGAACCAUCGUAAUGCCGAGCGAGCCGAUUUUAAAAAUCAAUUCAUCUCCACGCGCCUGCGGGUAACGGUCGAUGUCCAGCUUUUAAUACGUCGUUAAGAUUGAGUGCUCGGAUUGCAAUUGAACUGUCGCGUUUUGAACGCCGACAAACUAAAAAAGUAUCGAGAAAAAUCUAUACAUAGAAUGUUUAGUAGUUCUUUGCGCUAAUUAUUUGAAUCCUCCUUAAUAGUUAAUGGCGUGUUGCUUGAAAUAAGUAGAAAGUUAGUGAAUAUUAAAGUAGUCCUUGGAAUGUGCAUUUUUUGGCCAUUAAGCAAUGUUUAAUGACCAAAAUUUUGUUUGAUUGUGGGGAAACGAGCGUAGUGAUUGCUUAAAAAUUUAAUAGUUUAAUAAUAACAAACUAACAUUUAAACAAUACACCUCAAAGUUGAGGUCUUCUGAAGAGUUAAAUUAAUACCGUAUACAAUAUUCACGCACAAAAAAAUAGUUUACUUUUGAAGUGACAAUCUAAAUACCGGGAGAUAUAAUAAUUUAAAAUACAAAGCUUAAAUUAUGGACUAUUAAAAAUAGUCUGCAAUGAUAGCGAACUUGUCGAUAAGACAAUUAUUUUUCUCGAAAGAACUUAAAAAUAUACGUACUCACGAAUAUUAAUUAUCGCUAAAAUUGGUUAAAGUUAUCAACUAGCAGCGGUAAAUUAUUUCUAUGGCUAAAACGGAUAUUAUUAAAGAUUUUUGGAAUAUACGCUGCGGAAUAGUAACUGGCCAAUCGAGAAAGCGUUAUCUUAUCAUCAGCCAACAGCCCAACUUCUCCAUCCAAAUGCGUGCUCUAGUAUACAAGAGAUAACAUUUCGCCUCGUGGCCAAUGAGAUUCUAUUUGAGAUCCUGCUCGCUCGGUGUGGAGAAAUCAGAAUCCGGAAUACGAGACAUGCAACUCGAUCUUGCGCUCAUCUCGAUUUCAGUCUCCCUUCCGAUCAAACACCGCUUCUUAGCAAUCUUGUAAUCUCGCCGAACAAGUCCUCUAGACUCGUUGAUCUAGACAUCGUAUACGCCGCGUUUGGCUCUAUAUUUUUACAUUACGUAUGAUUAAUUAUUAAUCGAUAACUUGUAAUUCUAGUUAAGACUCUCUUGAGACUUGGUAUCACGUUACAUUCAUCUAUAAAUCGCAUUACGUUUGCAAUACGUAUUUGAAUUUAAGAACGUUGGUAUUCACUAUUAUCACUGUUUUGGAUUAUAAAAACAUUUUCAAGUAGAUUAAACUAUGGAAAUCGUACUCUUUGUGAUAUUAUGUAUGCGUAACUUUUAUUUUGCAUAUUUAUGAGUAGUAGAGUUAAUAGAAAAUAUUGUAAUCAAUCGCAACUUUUGUUCUCACAAGCGAACAAAAAUUAAAGUAUAGAGAAUUUAUGCUUUCGAUUUGAAAUGACGAACAAACGUUUUCAAAUGAAACGAAGGAAAGUGUUUGUGUUCAUCGCUGUGUUACAGAAGAUUUGUAAAAUCUCACAUCCUAACUAUGUAAACGAAGAAGAAGCGAUAGCUUGCUUUAAAGAUUUUAAAAAAUCUUUGCAAAUAUUGAACUUCGUUCAAAAAUUUCUCUUCGUUCAAAACUAUCGCGAUGAAAUCAAAUUUUUGAAGAAAGAAAAUACAUACCGAGGUCUCGAUGCCGCUAUCGUGGCACACUGUUUGCCAUGAAUUAUGCUGAGAUUUCAUAAGUGCUUCUGACCUUUACUGCGAAGAAUUUUCUUGGAACGAUGACGACGAUGAUAUCGCAGGCGAGAGUUAAUAAUCGAUGUUCUACGUUCGAAAAAUGUUUAACAGAAUUAAGUAACGAUUACGUGGACAUUCAAGCGAAGGAUAAAUCUCACGAUUAGAUAAUAAUAGUAAUAGUUGCGGUUUAAACAGUCAUGAUUACAGUGCAGUACUAUACUUUAAACGCUCUUUUAUUCCUUGUAUUAUUUUCUUUCUUCGUAUAAUUUUUUAAUUCAAAUUCUACUUGUUAAAUUAUUUCUAUUAACAACUAAAAGGUAUUUAAUUUUUAAUUCCUGGGAUUUAGAGAGAGAAUGUCAUUUUUUGCUAUUUUUAAAAAAUGUUACGAGUACUUUUAAGUUGUUUUAUCUUUUUCUUUGCUUUUUUAGCGCGCUAUUGAAUUCUUGCCUAUUCAUGAAGGGAUUCCCGGAGUUUCAUCUCGUGAAAAUGCAUGGAGUCCGACAAUUAACAUCGCAUCCAUUCACGUAAGCUCGGUGGCAUUACGGAAAGGAAAAAAAUAAGCGUUCAUUCAUGAAAACUCUUAUCUGCGUAUAUAUAGCCAUAGAUUACCAACCCCGUUUCAUUCACACGUUCGCGGAACAGGUUGAAUUUAUCGCUGACAUCUUUCCAUUGAAAAAAGGACCAUAUCAAUUUUACAAACCCCACUAUUUUAUAUUUCAUCUUCUUCAAAUUUUUGUCCAAGAUACCAAGGACUCCAAUUUUAUUAGCACGAAUUGCUGUGAAUUAACAAAAAUCAACGCAUUCGCUUCAAUCUCUCUAAAAUAACAAGAAGAAAACCAUAGGAACUAAACUGAAGAAAACUACCAUGUUACAACACCUUUAAUUGACUAAAAAACGACGGCAGUAAGGAAACCAUAAAAACCAAACAGAAGGUAUAACAUCGUCAUUUCUUCAACAUCAUAACAAAUCCAUUCGAAUUCAUUUCACCAGUUAAUCCACAAACAUUUCUUUUAUCCACAAAUCUCAUGUACGGAAGAAACGGUAUCGAAAGAAACUAAGCAGGAGCAUCGUCGAAUCGACUCACGUGCACUGGAAUACAAGCGAGCUUCGAGUCACAGUGCAGGAUAUAUGACGCAAAUCGAAUGCACGCGGUUCUGUUUACGUACGAGAUAAGAGUUUGUCCUGGGUCAAGGCUGCACGCAGUUUGAUAAUCCAAUUCAGAUAACGGGAACGUGCAUAGAGUUUGCUGGACCUUGAGUACAUACAUACAUAUAUAUAUACAUAUAGCGACGGUCUACGCGAGAAAGAGAAACGUCCGAAGAGAAUACACACGAGGCAGCGCAAGGCAAGGCGAGUCUCGAUGACUCAUUUCGCGAGCAAUUUGUCAAAUCAUCUGCCCCUUCUCUCCCCCGAAAGACCCGCCCUCGUUCCCUCUCCUUCAAACGGAAAGACUCACGUUUAUCGUGAAUAGUACGCCUAACGUGCGCACGUGACAUUUCGAGUAUCUCGAAUUAAACUGUAAACAUCGUAGUACAACCGACGGUUGAAGACCAGCCACGCGGACAGUGUCAAUGAUCCUACUAUUUAUUGGAUCGUUGCUUACGCACGGCGUCACAUGUCUGUGGAUAUGUACGUGUACACGUCCGGCUGUACGUGUGCGGGCAUCUCUCCUUCCUCGUCUCGCUUUUGUCAGUCGUGACCUCGAAGGUUAUUUCGUCUGUCUACCUCUUUAUCUUCUGAAUCUCCUUGCGAGACCCGAUUUUCGAAAUCUUUCAUUCAGAUGUUCUGCGGUGAAUGACACGGCAUGAACAGGAAUUUGGCUUUGAUUCUCGAUUGAUAUGAUACUUAUGUAUGAUAGGAGCCUGAAAAUUUCUACCAGCUGUCUGUGGAUUAUGAUGUAUGGUUGUUAUAUCGUAUCGUUAUUACAGGUUGGUACAGAUUCAAACAGAUUGGUUUUGGAAUGUACGUGCACUCAAAUACUCACACUUAAAUACUCUUCUCUUCUCCUUCAAUGGAAUACCAUGAAGUAUACGUUUCUCAAAUCUCUUCAGCCUCUAUCUUUCAAAAACUCGAAGAACACUUAGGAACAAUGAAACGUGAACGAAGUCAUCUCUUCUCCUCGUGAAUCCUCCAGAUAUCCUCUCUGAGACUGAAAGUCUCGAUGACCAUGAUAUAAAUUGCGCGAACAGCCUCUGGUGACUUUGCAACUGCCGUUAGAUUCCAUGCAGCGACUGUACGAGUUUCGUUCCCUGUGACUACUCUCCACGUCUCCAUCUCGACCGAUUCUCCGUCACGAUUCAUAGGGGUAUAGGUAAACGACAUCCGCGUCCGAGUGGGCACGUGCGUGUGCCUCUGCGUUCGCGUGUCCCGUAGUUUGUGUCGUUGACUGAGGGUGGUGGUGGUCGUGUGAUGGUAGUGGCGAAAAGGGGGAAAAGGGUGACGGAGGAGGGAGAGCAAGCACGUGUGAGGACGUAGUACGAUUUACUCGCAGAUCGGUGGAACGUCUUCCUCGUUCCCUCCCUCGCCCUCUUUCUCGUCGAUGAGCUGUCUUUCUUUCUCUUCCACCCCUUCCCCCUAUCGCGUACUUCUCUUCCUCAUUCUCCUCCUCUUCGUCGUUCCUCCUCCUCCACCUCUUCCUCCUCCUCCGCCUUCUCCUCCUUCACCACCUCUUCCUCCUACCACUGACAUUAUACUACUACUACGGGGUACUCCACUUUCAUUCAGUCGCUUCUAAAAAUAAAGUCCCUGAUUCACAAUGCAUGAAUGACAAUCACACUGAAAGGAAUACCGCACAGACUUGUAGCCUUUCUCACUCUCUUUCCCCUCUAUCUCACUCCCUCUAACCGUCCCAUGUCUUCUUUGUCUCUCUUGUCGAUCUCCUGCUCUUGCGAUUUUCCCUCUCCCUCCGUCUUUCUGUUGUAUAUGUCCUGUCUCGUUCUACCAUUCCCGAAGCACUCCCUCUCGCUCUCUUUUCGCUCCUAUCACUCUCGCCUCUCCUGUCUCGCUUCUUUUUCCAACCUGUUCUCUCGUUCCCUGGCGCCCACCCCCCUUUCUCCCUUCACACUCUCUCUCUCUCUCUCUCUCUCUUUCUCUCUGUGUCUAUGUAUGUAUAUAUAUGCCUGCCUCUGUAUGUAUAUGUGUCGUACUCUCUUGUAAGAGAGUGAAAUCUCGGUUCGCCUGUUGCAUCGAACUAUUGGUUGGUUCCGUGUAAAUAGAUCCCGUGGAAAUUCGAAGUAGCAUUGCCGCGUUGCGCCGGCCUGAUCGAUCGGAGGGAUCGAUCUCGCACCGGAGAACUUGUUGCACAUCGUGCCAGAUUUUACAAAUGUCACGGUCCGGUGUUUGAAUUGGCAUCAGAGAGUAUGUACGUCCGUUUGAAUAAACGUUAUCGUUUGCUUGUACUAUCCGAUGGUGAUCGAGUAAGUCGAGGAAUAGGAAGCAGUUGGAGAAUAGUUACUGAAACGUUUCUCUGCUCGUAGGUGUUCGGGCGAAGCGGUGGCUGCUUCUUUCGAGGAUAAAUGAGAAGUUUGAUAUUGCAGAGGAUGAAAAAUUGUUAGUAGAGUCCGCAAGACUGAUACGAUAACGAAGCGAGCUAUCUAAAGCAAGAUCGUAUCGCUGGCUGAUAAACGAAUUCUGCGAGGAAAACAAGUGUAGAUUCAACAAGAUAUCGUUGGCACUGCGUUAUGACAGUUUCAGGCGAUAAUUCUUAAUGUAUUAAGUCAAGAAAACGAGAAGGGUUCGUUUUAUGAAGAUGAACAACGAAGAUAGCAACCGGAAAUACCAGCUAUAAUUUGGGAAUGCACAAUUGUCCCGUAACGCUCUGAAGGUUCACGGAAAUAGGGGCGAGUAACCCUGAAUAUCUCGUGAAGUUCUCGGCUCGAAGCACCCAAGGAGAACUGGUUUCAACUCAUCAUAGUCACCUAGCUGUUCACGAUACGGCAUUCCAAAAUAAAAAACAGAAUAAUCAAAUGUCCCUGAAAACAGCAAAACACUGCCGAAUUCAAUAAUAUUGCUUGAAGCUGUUUCAAAGCCUAGAGGUAUUUCGAAAAUUCUUCAGUGAAGAAUUGACCGCGAGGAGAGUUAUAUUGUCUCGUACAUAUAAAAGACCUACUUUCAUCGCCCUUCUUGAAGUUACUCACGCGAAACAUUCUUGUUAGUAGAUAAUCCUAUAAUAAAUGCAGCCUACGGAAACUUCAAGACACUUCAAAUUCUUCUUGCGAAAGAAAUUGCAGCUACAUCCAACGGUGCUAUAAAAAUAUGGCAAACGUUUGCGAACGUUUAUCCACUUACGAUAUUCCAAACGACUACAUGAGAAGUUAAAUAUUUCUUGAAAAUCAAAAUGCUUCGUGGCAUCAGAAGUUGAAGAAAAAGUGACUCCAAUACUUGAAGAAAAAAGAAAAAUAAUUCAAAGUCGGAUAAUUCCAAGAUUAAAAUAUCCCUCUAGUU
Long non-coding RNA from Bombus impatiens (common eastern bumble bee), 7515 nucleotides. RefSeq lists it as uncharacterized. The transcript is spliced from 8 exons. The record is from RefSeq and is a predicted model, not a curated record. Lineage: Eukaryota; Metazoa; Arthropoda; Insecta; Hymenoptera; Apidae.